AGUGAACGCUGGCGGUAGGCCUAACACAUGCCAGUCGAGCGGCAGCACAGUAAGAGCUUGCUCUUACGGGUGGCGAGUGGCGGACGGGUGAGGAAUACAUCGGAAUCUACUUUUUCGUGGGGGAUAACGUAGGGAAACUUACGCUAAUACCGCAUACGACCUACGGGUGAAAGCAGGGGAUCUUCGGACCUUGCGCGAUUGAAUGAGCCCAUGUCGGAUUAGCUAGUUGGCGGGGUAAAGGCCCACCAAGGCGACGAUCCGUAGCUGGUCGGAGAGGAUGAUCAGAGAGACUGGGCCGGAGACAAGGACCAGACUCAGACGGGAGGCAGCAGUGGGGAAGACUGGACAAUGGGAGAAAACAUGAUCCAGCAAUGUCGAGGGAGGGAUGAAGGCAUGAGGGUGGUAAAGCUCGGUUACCCGGGCUGAUAACGACAGUACCGGGAGAAUAAGCUACGGCAAACUCCGUG
RNAcentral lists this ribosomal RNA (467 nucleotides) under uncultured bacterium. RNAcentral describes it as "partial 16S ribosomal RNA". It matches the Rfam family "Bacterial small subunit ribosomal RNA", at positions 30 to 507 of the family's 1533-position model. The record is from RNAcentral.